This 465-nucleotide ribosomal RNA is filed under the name uncultured bacterium. Its description in RNAcentral is "bacterial SSU rRNA". It matches the Rfam family "Bacterial small subunit ribosomal RNA", at positions 338 to 795 of the family's 1533-position model. The record is from RNAcentral.
CCUACGGGUCGCAGCAGUGGGGAAUAUUGCACAAUGGGCGCAAGCCUGAUGCAGCCAUGCCGCGUGUAUGAAGAAGGCCUUCGGGUUGUAAAGUACUUUCAGCGGGGAGGAAGGCGAUAAGGUUAAUAACCUUGCCGAUUGACGUUACCCGCAGAAGAAGCACCGGCUAACUCCGUGCCAGCAGCCGCGGUAAUACGGAGGGUGCAAGCGUUAAUCGGAAUUACUGGGCGUAAAGCGCUCGCAGGCGGUCUGUCAAGUCGGAUGUGAAAUCCCCGGGCUCAACCUGGGAACUGCAUUCGAAACUGGCAGGCUAGAGUCUUGUAGAGGGGGGUAGAAUUCCAGGUGUAGCGGUGAAAUGCGUAGAGAUCUGGAGGAAUACCGGUGGCGAAGGCGGCCCCCUGGACAAAGACUGACGCUCAAGUGCGAAAGCGUGGGGAGCAAACAGGAUUAGAUACCCGUGUAGUC